RNAcentral lists this ribosomal RNA (459 nucleotides) under uncultured bacterium. RNAcentral's name for it is "partial 16S ribosomal RNA". It matches the Rfam family "Bacterial small subunit ribosomal RNA", at positions 338 to 795 of the family's 1533-position model. The record is from RNAcentral.
CCUACGGGGGCAGCAGUGAGGAAUAUUGGUUAAUGGGCGCGAGCCUGAACCAGCCAAGUAGCGUGAAGGAUGACUGCCCUACGGGUUGUUAACUUCUUUUAUAAAGGAAUAAAGUGAGGCACGGGUGCCUUUUUGUAUGUACUUUAUGAAUAAGGAUCGGCUAACUCCGUGCCAGCAGCCGCGGUAAUACGGAGGAUCCGAGCGUUUUCCGGAUUUGUUGGGGUUAAAGGGAGCGUAGAUGGGUGGUUAAGUCAGUUGUGAAAGUUUGCGGCUCAAACGUCAAAUUGCAAUUGAUACUGGCAGCCUUGAGUACAGGUGAGGUAGGCGGAAUUCGUGGUGUAGCGGUGAAAUGCUUAGAUAUCACGAAGAACUCCGAUUGCGAAGGCAGCCUACUAGCCUGCCACUGACAUUGAUGCUCGAAAGUGUGGGUAUCGAACAGGAUUAGAUACCCGAGUAGUC